Molecule: transfer RNA, 83 nt
Filed under: Micromonospora sp. MH33
Lineage: Bacteria; Bacillati; Actinomycetota; Actinomycetes; Micromonosporales; Micromonosporaceae
Description: tRNA-Arg
Source: RNAcentral
GGCCUGGCUGGUCCGGCCGCAGCGCGCCGGCGGCGGCCUGGCCGGGGUGCUGGACCUGCACUGGUUCGAGCCCGGUCGGGCCA